AUGUAUAACUAUAAGAAAAAGGAAGGGAAAUUGUAUAAGAUUAAGAAAGUUAAGAUUAAGAAAGCUCAUAUAGAAAAGAAAAAGUAGAAAAGGAUUAGAAAAGAGGGAAUUCCUAAUCCAAUCAAAAACCCCAUUUUGGACUUAGUGUGGAUAGAGGAUCUUCCUAUGUUAUACUAUAUAACUCUCAUCCGUGAAAUAUAA
This 201-nucleotide ribosomal RNA is filed under the name Triticum aestivum (bread wheat). RNAcentral describes it as "partial small subunit ribosomal RNA". Lineage: Eukaryota; Viridiplantae; Streptophyta; Magnoliopsida; Poales; Poaceae. The record is from RNAcentral.